RNAcentral lists this ribosomal RNA (253 nucleotides) under uncultured bacterium. RNAcentral's name for it is "partial 16S ribosomal RNA". It matches the Rfam family "Bacterial small subunit ribosomal RNA", at positions 524 to 776 of the family's 1533-position model. The record is from RNAcentral.
UACGUAGGGUGCAAGCGUUAAUCGGAAUUACUGGGCGUAAAGCGUGCGCAGGCGGUGAUGUAAGCCAGAUGUGAAAUCCCCGGGCUCAACCUGGGAACUGCAUUUGUGACUGCAUCGCUGGAGUACGGCAGAGGGGGAUGGAAUUCCGCGUGUAGCAGUGAAAUGCGUAGAGAUGUGGAGGAACACCGAUGGCGAAGGCAGCCUCCUGGGCCAGCACUGACGCUCAUGCACGAAAGCGUGGGGAGCAAACAGG